CGUGUAGGUGGUUAGGUAAGUCGGAUGUGAAAUCCCUGGGCUCAACCGAGGAAGUGCAUUCGAAACUACCUAGCUAGAGGACGGUAGAGGAAGGUGGAAUUCCUAGUGUAGAGGUGAAAUUCGUAGAUAUUAGGAGGAAUACCGGUGGCGAAGGCGGCCUUCUGGGCCGUUCCUGACACUGAGACGCGAAAGCGUGGGUAGCAAACAGGAUUAGAUACCCUGGUAGUCCACGCUGUAAACGAUGGGUACUAGGUGUUGUAGGAAUUGACCCCUGCAGUGCCGACGCUAACGCAUUAAGUACCCCGCCUGGGAAGUACGGCCGCAAGGUUAAA
RNAcentral lists this ribosomal RNA (332 nucleotides) under uncultured bacterium. RNAcentral's name for it is "bacterial SSU rRNA". It matches the Rfam family "Bacterial small subunit ribosomal RNA", at positions 568 to 898 of the family's 1533-position model. The record is from RNAcentral.